GACGAACCGUGCGAACGUUAUUCGGAAUCAUUGGGCUUAAAGGGCGCGUAGGCGGCAGUGUAAGUUGGAAGUGAAAUCCCAUCGGCUCAACCGUGGAAUUGCUCCCAGUACUGCACUGCUCGAGGGGGAUAGGGGUCCGCGGAACUACCGGUGGAGCGGUGAAAUGUGUUGAUAUCGGUGGGAACGCCAGUGGCGAAAGCGGCGGACUUGACCCUUCCUGACGCUGAUGCGCGAAAGCUAGGGGAGCAAACGGG
Molecule: ribosomal RNA, 254 nt
Filed under: uncultured bacterium
Lineage: Bacteria
Description: partial 16S ribosomal RNA
Rfam family: Bacterial small subunit ribosomal RNA
Source: RNAcentral